GCUGGGUGCGAUGGCUCACGCCUGUAAUCCCAGCAUUUUGGGAGGCUGAGGCAGGUGGAUCACUUGAGGUCAGGAGUUCAAGACCAGCCUGGCCAACGUGGCAAAACCCUGUCUCUAUUAAAAAUACAAAAAUUAGCUGGGGGUGGUGGUGGAUGCCUGUAAUCCCAGCUACUUGGGAGGCUGAGGCAGGAGAAUCACUUGAACCUGGGAGGCAGAGGUUGCAGUGAGCCGAGAUCACGCCACUGUACUCCAGCCUGGGUGACAAAGCGAGACUCCAUCUCA
This 282-nucleotide small RNA is filed under the name Pongo abelii (Sumatran orangutan). The record is from RNAcentral. Lineage: Eukaryota; Metazoa; Chordata; Mammalia; Primates; Hominidae.